Long non-coding RNA from Nannospalax galili (Upper Galilee mountains blind mole rat), 842 nucleotides. RefSeq lists it as uncharacterized. The transcript has 4 exons. Lineage: Eukaryota; Metazoa; Chordata; Mammalia; Rodentia; Spalacidae. The record is from RefSeq and is a predicted model, not a curated record.
CAUGCACCCAACGUUCCAUAGUGUUUUUAUUCCCUAUGAUUUUCUUGGUGUUCUGAAUGUUCGAUUAUUGACAGUAUUCUUUCAUUCCUGUUAGAAUUGGUGGUGUGUGUGGCACAUGGUUGAUUAAUUCUCAGGACUUAGCCAUUUAUUGAUUCCUCACAUGAAAUGUGUGAUUUCCUUUGUUCUAAUGGAUAAUUUCUUUUUAAUUGCUGUGUAUAUUGUUUGCCUUUAAUUAUAAUCUGCAGUGCUCCUUGAAUGAAAGUUAUUGUGUUAAUUCAUGCAUUUCCUGCAAUGCACUUUUAUCUCUGUGAAUUUUAAGAGACAUUUUUCCUGAAUAGAACACUAUGGUUGACAGUUACUUUCUUUUGGAGCAUUUUAAUAUAUUGUUCCCUGUGUAUUGGGUUUAAGUGUACUUACAGGUCAUCUCGCAGUAUUCUGUUGUCUGUCCCAUUGGUAUGUAGGUUCACAUUGUUCCUUAAAAGAGUUUGGUAUUCAUUUGUGUUUGUAUUUUUAACACCUUCAUUAUAAAAAGGCAAGAGUUCCUUCUGGUCAUUGUUCCUGAGACAGAAACUCAGAGAAGAAGCAGAGGGGGGGUUGGCUGAUUCUCCAGUAAAAGCAUCCCAGGACUUGGCCACCUGUCUGGAACAAAGAAACAUACCCUGGAUCGUGAAGAGAGUGACAACUGCAAUCAAACUGCAAGUAUUUGAAUAAGGUCAUGCCAACAUUGUGCCAAUUUACACAAGUCAAUCAUGGAUUCUGCUGUUGAGAUUCUGGAAGCAUAUUUAUGCCUCUUGCUUAUGGAAUAUUUUCCAUUGAUAUUUUAAGAAAUCACUGAAAGCAAA